GCCGAGGUGGCGGAAUUGGUAGACGCACAGGACUUAAAAUCCUGUGUCCUCUUAGGGCGUGCCGGUUCGAUUCCGGCCCUCGGUA
This 85-nucleotide transfer RNA is filed under the name Bacteroidota bacterium. RNAcentral describes it as "Bacteroidetes bacterium (marine metagenome) tRNA-Leu". It matches the Rfam family "tRNA". Rfam says of the family: Transfer RNA (tRNA) molecules are approximately 80 nucleotides in length. Their secondary structure includes four short double-helical elements and three loops (D, anti-codon, and T loops). The record is from RNAcentral. RNAcentral also lists the same sequence under 1 other name. Lineage: Bacteria; Pseudomonadati; Bacteroidota.